AGAUUAAGUUAUUAAGGGCGCACGGUGGAUGCCUUGGCACUAGAAGCCGAUGAAGGACGUUACUAACGACGAUAUGCUUUGGGGAGCUGUAAGUAAGCUUUGAUCCAGAGAUUUCCGAAUGGGGAAACCCAGCAUGAGUUAUGUCAUGUUAUCGAUAUGUGAAUACAUAGCAUAUCAGAAGGCACACCCGGAGAACUGAAACAUCUUAGUACCCGGAGGAAGAGAAAGAAAAUUCGAUUCCCUUAGUAGCGGCGAGCGAAACGGGAAGAGCCCAAACCAACAAGCUUGCUUGUUGGGGUUGUAGGACACUCUAUACGGAGUUACAAAGGACGACAUUAGACGAAUCAUCUGGAAAGAUGAAUCAAAGAAGGUAAUAAUCCUGUAGUCGAAAAUGUUGUCUCUCUUGAGUGGAUCCUGAGUACGACGGAGCACGUGAAAUUCCGUCGGAAUCUGGGAGGACCAUCUCCUAAGGCUAAAUACUCUCUAGUGACCGAUAGUGAACCAGUACCGUGAGGGAAAGGUGAAAAGCACCCCGGAAGGGGAGUGAAAUAGAACCUGAAACCGUGUGCUUACAAGUAGUCAGAGCCCGUUAAUGGGUGAUGGCGUGCCUUUUGUAGAAUGAACCGGCGAGUUACGAUUUGAUGCAAGGUUAAGCAGUAAAUGUGGAGCCGUAGCGAAAGCGAGUCUGAAUAGGGCGUUUAGUAUUUGGUCGUAGACCCGAAACCAGGUGAUCUACCCUUGGUCAGGUUGAAGUUCAGGUAACACUGAAUGGAGGACCGAACCGACUUACGUUGAAAAGUGAGCGGAUGAACUGAGGGUAGCGGAGAAAUUCCAAUCGAACCUGGAGAUAGCUGGUUCUCUCCGAAAUAGCUUUAGGGCUAGCCUCAAGUGAUGAUUAUUGGAGGUAGAGCACUGUUUGGACGAGGGGCCCCUCUCGGGUUACCGAAUUCAGACAAACUCCGAAUGCCAAUUAAUUUAACUUGGGAGUCAGAACAUGGGUGAUAAGGUCCGUGUUCGAAAGGGAAACAGCCCAGACCACCAGCUAAGGUCCCAAAAUAUAUGUUAAGUGGAAAAGGAUGUGGCGUUGCCCAGACAACUAGGAUGUUGGCUUAGAAGCAGCCAUCAUUUAAAGAGUGCGUAAUAGCUCACUAGUCGAGUGACACUGCGCCGAAAAUGUACCGGGGCUAAACAUAUUACCGAAGCUGUGGAUUGUCCUUUGGACAAUGGUAGGAGAGCGUUCUAAGGGCGUUGAAGCAUGAUCGUAAGGACAUGUGGAGCGCUUAGAAGUGAGAAUGCCGGUGUGAGUAGCGAAAGACGGGUGAGAAUCCCGUCCACCGAUUGACUAAGGUUUCCAGAGGAAGGCUCGUCCGCUCUGGGUUAGUCGGGUCCUAAGCUGAGGCCGACAGGCGUAGGCGAUGGAUAACAGGUUGAUAUUCCUGUACCACCUAUAAUCGUUUUAAUCGAUGGGGGGACGCAGUAGGAUAGGCGAAGCGUGCGAUUGGAUUGCACGUCUAAGCAGUAAGGCUGAGUAUUAGGCAAAUCCGGUACUCGUUAAGGCUGAGCUGUGAUGGGGAGAAGACAUUGUGUCUUCGAGUCGUUGAUUUCACACUGCCGAGAAAAGCCUCUAGAUAGAAAAUAGGUGCCCGUACCGCAAACCGACACAGGUAGUCAAGAUGAGAAUUCUAAGGUGAGCGAGCGAACUCUCGUUAAGGAAC
This 1715-nucleotide ribosomal RNA is filed under the name Staphylococcus aureus. RNAcentral describes it as "bacterial LSU rRNA". It matches the Rfam family "Bacterial large subunit ribosomal RNA", at positions 1 to 1713 of the family's 2925-position model. The record is from RNAcentral. Lineage: Bacteria; Bacillati; Bacillota; Bacilli; Caryophanales; Staphylococcaceae.